Molecule: ribosomal RNA, 497 nt
Filed under: uncultured bacterium
Lineage: Bacteria
Description: bacterial SSU rRNA
Rfam family: Bacterial small subunit ribosomal RNA
Source: RNAcentral
GAUGAACGCUAGCGGCAGGCUUAAUACAUGCAAGUUGAGGGGCAGCAUGAUAUACGCGAGUAUAUUGAUGGCGACCGGCGGACGGGUGAGUAAUAGGUAGGAGACCUACCUCAUACAGGGGGAUAGCAUAGAGAAAUCUGUGGUAAUACCCCAUGAGGUUAUAUGAAUAGAGGCAUAUAAUCAAAGCAUAAGCGAUUAUGCGGUAUGAGAGGGGCCUACUGACCAUUAGCUAGUUGGUGAGGUAAGGGCUCACCAAGGCGAAGAUGGUUAGGGGUUUUGAGAGAGAGACCCCCCACAUUGGAACUGAGAGACGGUCCAGACUCCUACGGGAGGCAGCAGUAGGGAAUAUUGGGCGAAUGGGCGGAAAGACCUGACCCAGCCAUGCCGCGUGAAGGAAGACGGCCUUAUGGGUUGUAAACUUCUUUACUACGCGAAUAGAGGUUAGUACGAGAUACUAAUAGGAAGGUAGUGUAGUAAAAGCACCGGCUAACUCCGUG